RNAcentral lists this ribosomal RNA (253 nucleotides) under uncultured bacterium. RNAcentral describes it as "partial 16S ribosomal RNA". It matches the Rfam family "Bacterial small subunit ribosomal RNA", at positions 524 to 776 of the family's 1533-position model. The record is from RNAcentral.
UACGUAGGGGGCAAGCGUUGUCCGGAAUCAUUGGGCGUAAAGAGCGUGUAGGCGGCCCGAUAAGUCCGCUGUGAAAGUCGAGGGCUCAACCCUCGAAUGCCGGCGGAUACUGUCGGGCUAGAGUCCGGAAGAGGCGAGUGGAAUUCCUGGUGUAGCGGUGAAAUGCGCAGAUAUCAGGAGGAACACCAACGGCGAAGGCAGCUCGCUGGGACGGUACUGACGCUGAGGCGCGAAAGCGUGGGGAGCAAACAGG